UAAUGAAUUGAUGAAAAAUAAAAAUAACGAUACAGUGAAGAUCAAAAUGUCAAUCUCAAUACUGCUUUUACAAAAGCAGAAUUAAAAAAGCGAAAUGAAAAUAG
This is an unclassified non-coding RNA of Bison bison bison, 104 nucleotides long. The record is from Ensembl. Lineage: Eukaryota; Metazoa; Chordata; Mammalia; Artiodactyla; Bovidae.